This 497-nucleotide ribosomal RNA is filed under the name uncultured bacterium. RNAcentral describes it as "partial 16S ribosomal RNA". It matches the Rfam family "Bacterial small subunit ribosomal RNA", at positions 28 to 507 of the family's 1533-position model. The record is from RNAcentral.
GAUGAACGCUGGCGGCGUGCCUAAUACAUGCAAGUAGAACGCUGAAGGAAGGAGCUUGCUCUUUCCGGAUGAGUUGCGAACGGGUGAGUAACGCGUAGGUAACCUGCCUGGUAGCGGGGGACAACUAUUGGAAACGAUAGCUAAUACCGCAUAACAGUAGAUGUUGCAUGAUAUCUACUUAAAAGGUGCAAUUGCACCACUACCAGAUGGACCUGCGUUGUAUUAGCUAGUUGGUGAGGUAACGGCUCACCAAGGCGACGAUACAUAGCCGACCUGAGAGGGUGAUCGGCCACACUGGGACUGAGACACGGCCCAGACUCCUACGGGAGGCAGCAGUAGGGAAUCUUCGGCAAUGGACGGAAGUCUGACCGAGCAACGCCGCGUGAGUGAAGAAGGUUUUCGGAUCGUAAAGCUCUGUUGUAAGAGAAGAACGAGUGUGAGAGUGGAAAGUUCACACUGUGACGGUAUCUUACCAGAAAGGGACGGCUAACUACGUG